RNAcentral lists this ribosomal RNA (253 nucleotides) under uncultured bacterium. RNAcentral describes it as "partial 16S ribosomal RNA". It matches the Rfam family "Bacterial small subunit ribosomal RNA", at positions 524 to 776 of the family's 1533-position model. The record is from RNAcentral.
UACAGAGGUCUCAAGCGUUGUUCGGAUUCAUUGGGCGUAAAGGGUGUGUAGGUGGCGCGCUAAGUCGGGUGUGAAAUUUCGGAGCUUAGCUCCGAAACUGCAUUCGAUACUGGCGUGCUUGAGGACUGGAGAGGAGACUGGAAUUCAUGGUGUAGCAGUGAAAUGCGUAGAGAUCAUGAGGAAGACCAGUGGCGAAGGCGGGUCUCUGGACAGUUCCUGACACUGAGACACGAAGGCCAGGGGGGCAAACGGG